AGUCUCUGGCUCCUCUGCAUUUAACCGAGAAAAUCCUUCGCCUUUUACUAAAGAUUUCCGUGCAGAGGUGCAUUAUAUGAGUAUUUGAGUAUUUUUGGAAUACCCUCGAAAGAGCGGGGU
This is a non-coding RNA of Ancylostoma duodenale, 120 nucleotides long. NCBI's taxonomy places the organism in Eukaryota, Metazoa, Nematoda, Chromadorea, Rhabditida, Ancylostomatidae. The record is from Rfam.